AAUUCCCGUGAUCGAGGAGCUUUUAGACGAACUUCAUGGGACAACCGUGUUCUCGAAAUUAGACCUUAAAUCUGGGUACCAUCAAAUAAGAGUACGGAAGGAAGAUGUUCACAAGACCGCAUUCCGAACGCAUGAGGGCCACUAUGAGUUCCUUGUCAUGCCUUUUGGUCUCUCAAAUGUGCCGGCAACUUUCAGUCGCUAAUGAAUCUGGUCUUCAGGGAGUACCUCAGAAAAUUUGUUCUGGUUUUCUUCGAUAACAUUCUGGUGUACAGUAAGGACCUUCCAACUCAUGAACAGCACUUGGAAAAAGUCCUUACUUCUCUAGCUGCGCAUCAGUUAUAUGCAAAACGCCAAGAAGUGUAUCUUUGCUCAGAAACAAAUAGAGUAUCUCGGCCGCCUAGUAUCUGAACAGGGAGUGAUAGCUGACCCAAAGAAGAUAGAAGUAAUGGUGUAGUGACCGACCCCCCGUAACAUCAGAGAAUUAAGGGGAUUUUUGGGUUUGACAGGGUACUACAAGCUUUUUGUGGCAGGCUACGGUGCAAUCUCCUGGCCACUGACACAACAACUAAAGAAGGAUGCAUUUGGGUGGAAUGAAGAAGCAGAAACAAUAUUUCAAAAGCUGAAAGAUGCCGUGACAACCGUACCAGUAUUAGCCCUACCAGACUUCUCAAAACCCUUCAUCAUCGAAGCUGAUGCAUUAGGUCAUGGGGUAGGAGCAGUCCUUAUGCAGGAACAACAGCCCAUCGCGUAUUUCAACCAGGUGUUGUCUACUAAAUCGCAACACAAAUCAGUCUAUGAAAGGGAAUUGAUGGCGAUUGUGCUGGCAAUCCAAAAAUGGCGUCAUUAUAUUUUUGGACAAAAAUUCAUAGUUCGCACCGAUCAGCGUAGCUUAAGGUUCCUCCUCAUGCAAAGAAUGAUUCCGAUGGAAUUUCAGAAGUGGGUGACCAAAUUACUGGGAUACGAGUUCGAGAUACAGUACAGGCCAGGGAAGGAAAAUAAAGCUGCAGAUGCUGUGUCUCGCAUUCCCAGCCCAGUCGAACUAGCGGCUCUUACAUUUCCUCAAGUGUUGGACGUCUAGUUAAUUCACAAUCAGGUCAUUGAUGACCCACAACUCUCAAAGAUAAUAAAGGAGCUACAGGAAGACCCAGACCUCCAUCCCAAAUAUUCACUCGAGCAAGGCAGGCUGAUGUUCAAAGGGCGCCUGGUCAUCCCUCACUCUUCUACACUGAUCCCCACUGUUCUUAAGCAGUUGCACUGCUGUACCUUGGGAGGUCACUCUGGGUUCCUUCGAACCUACAAAAGGGUGGCUAGCAACUUGUACUUGAAAGGAAUGAAGAAAGAUAUCAAAAAAAUGGUUGAUGAAUGUACAGUUUGCCAACAAAACAAGUCACUUUCCCUCUCUCUAGCUGGACUACUACAACCCCUACCAAUUCCCUGCCGGAUUUGGGAAGAUAUCUCAUUGGACUUUGUUGAAGGCCUUCCAACAUCCGGUGGUUACAAUACAUUGCUGUUUGUGGUCGACCGAUUAAGCAAGUAUGCACAUUUUUUGCUUCUAAAACAUCCCUAUACAGCCUCUGGGGUGGCGACCAUUUUUGUUAGAGAAAUCGUGCGUCU
This 1614-nucleotide long non-coding RNA is filed under the name Olea europaea subsp. europaea. The record is from RNAcentral. Lineage: Eukaryota; Viridiplantae; Streptophyta; Magnoliopsida; Lamiales; Oleaceae.